AGCCCGCGGUAAUUCCAGCUCCAAUAGCGUAUAUUAAAGUUGUUGCAGUUAAAAAGCUCGUAGUUGAAUUUCGGGGUUAGUAAGUUGGUCAUGCCUCCGGUAUGCACUGGCUUUACUGAUUCCUCCUUCUUGAUGAACUGUAAUGUCAUUAAUUUGGUGUUGCAGGGAAUCAGGACUGUUACUUUGAAAAAAUUAGAGUGUUUAAAGCAGGCAUAAGCUUGAAUACAUUAGCUUGGAAUAAUGAAAUAGGACGUUUGAUCCUAUUUUGUUGGUUUCUAGGAUUGACGUAAUGAUUAAUAGGGAUAGUUGGGGGCAUUAGUAUUCAAUUGUCAGAGGUGAAAUUCUUGGAUUUAUUGAAGACUAACUACUGCGAAAGCAUUUGCCAAGGAUGUUUUCAUUAAUCAAGAACGAAAGUUAGGGGAUCGAAACCAUCAAAUACCGCGUAGUCUUAACCAUAAACUAUGCCACUAGGGAUCGGAGGAUGUUAUUUUUAAUGACUCA
RNAcentral lists this ribosomal RNA (501 nucleotides) under uncultured Glomus. RNAcentral's name for it is "SSU rRNA". It matches the Rfam family "Eukaryotic small subunit ribosomal RNA", at positions 569 to 1078 of the family's 1831-position model. The record is from RNAcentral. Lineage: Eukaryota; Fungi; Glomeromycota; Glomeromycetes; Glomerales; Glomeraceae.